RNAcentral lists this microRNA (23 nucleotides) under Homo sapiens (human). Its description in RNAcentral is "hsa-miR-6873-3p". The record is from miRBase by way of RNAcentral. Lineage: Eukaryota; Metazoa; Chordata; Mammalia; Primates; Hominidae.
UUCUCUCUGUCUUUCUCUCUCAG